UUGGGAACGUAUCGGAUUUACUGGGCGUAAGCGUGCGUAGGCGGCUUUUUAAGUCGGAUGUGAAAUCCCUGAGCUUAACUUAGGAAUUGCAUUCGAUACUGGGAAGCUAGAGUAUGGGAGAGGAUGGUAGAAUUCCAGGUGUAGCGGUGAAAUGCGUAGAGAUCUGGAGGAAUACCGAUGGCGAAGGCAGCCAUCUGGCCUAAUACUGACGCUGAGGUACGAAAGCAUGGGGAGCAAACAGGAUUAGAUACCCUGGUAGUCCAUGCCGUAAACGAUGUCUACUAGCCGUUGGGGCCUUUGAGGCUUUAGUGGCGCAGCUAACGCGAUAAGUAGACCGCCUGGGGAGUACGGUCGCAAGACUAAAACUCAAAUGAAUUGACGGCGAUCGGUCAUCGUUUUCAAUUUCUCUCAGCUCUCUCGAAGACGAAACUUUUACUCAUCCUCAAAAUCUGGGUACAA
This 459-nucleotide ribosomal RNA is filed under the name Legionella sp. AP6. RNAcentral describes it as "bacterial SSU rRNA". It matches the Rfam family "Bacterial small subunit ribosomal RNA", at positions 532 to 1533 of the family's 1533-position model. The record is from RNAcentral. Lineage: Bacteria; Pseudomonadati; Pseudomonadota; Gammaproteobacteria; Legionellales; Legionellaceae.